Molecule: ribosomal RNA, 497 nt
Filed under: uncultured bacterium
Lineage: Bacteria
Description: partial 16S ribosomal RNA
Rfam family: Bacterial small subunit ribosomal RNA
Source: RNAcentral
GAUGAACGCUGGCGGCGUGCCUAAUACAUGCAAGUCGAGCGAACGGACGAGAAGCUUGCUUCUCUGAUGUUAGCGGCGGACGGGUGAGUAACACGUGGAUAGCCUACCUAUAAGACUGGGAUAACUUCGGGAAACCGGAGCUAAUACCGGAUGAUAUUUUGAACCGCAUGGUUCAAAAGUGAAAGACGGUCUUGCUGUCACUUAUAGAUGGAUCCGCGCUGCAUUAGCUAGUUGGUAAGGUAACGGCUUACCAAGGCAACGAUGCAUAGCCGACCUGAGAGGGUGAUAGGCCACACUGGAACUGAGACACGGUCCAGACUCCUACGGGAGGCAGCAGUAGGGAAUCUUCCGCAAUGGGCGAAAGCCUGACGGAGCAACGCCGCGUGAGUGAUGAAGGUGUUCGGAUCGUAAAACUCUGUUAUUAGGGAAGAACAGAUGUGUAAGUAACUGUGCACAUCGUGACGGUACCUAAUCAGAAAGCCACGGCUAACUACGUG